ACGUUACCUCACACCACUUUGUUUCAACCUGACUAACCUUUCCCCCUCUCUCUUAAUCGUGCCACCACCGAAAAUCCGCUCGCCACGCCGGAGGCGGCAGAGCAACUCAUAAUCCCUCUAAAUAACAAUUAAUUUGUUCCUCUUACCUUCUUCUUUCCACUUCUCAUGCUUGUUUCACCUAGCUAUCUAUAAAUCUCCCAAAUUGAAACACAUACACAAAGAACCCUAAUAUCUUGAAACUGGAAUUAAAUGAAGAUGAAGGAGAAUCAAGCCACGCCACCUUGGGGCAUUGAUUUCCCCUAACUGAAGGCUACAACCUACAUGGCGGUAACAAAUUCAUAGAGAAUAAAGAAAAAAAUGGAGAAGUAGCUUACCUACAGGGAAGAGAUUGGUCCCGGAGUUUGUAGGAGUUGAAGAAGAUCAAAGAAUAUGUAUCCAGGAUGUUUGGCUGGUUCAAGGCUUGGUGCAACAUGUCUUGGCUUGCAGGUAAGGUGUUUGAUCAUUUGAUGGCUCUUGGCUCAUGACUUGGUAUGCAUGGUUGUUGGGUUUUUGAUGGUGUAGACAUGAGUGGUAUGACAUUUGGUGAUGGUUUUUGGUGCAAGCUUACUCGAUGGCAAGGUUUGACAUGGUGGUUGCUUCAUGGGUGAUGGUCUGCUGCAAGGUCCAUCUGGUGGUCUGUAGCCUAGCUGGUUUGGCGAUCUGGCUGGUCCAUUUAGUGGUCUGACCUUGACAUGGACCAAGUUGUUUGGUCAUGAAGAAAUUCAAGGAAAACAAGGUUUUUGGUAAUGAAUCAAGGUAAGAUGGAUGGAAAUAGAUCUUAGGGAGUCAAGGGAGGGUCAAUUGACUUUGGUCAAUUAGUUGACCAAAAAGUCAAUUGUUGACUAAAAAUCAACUGUAGCAAAUUUUGGCGAAAUUGUAAGUUUUUGUAUGAACAUGGGCAUCCUUGUAAUUAAGUGAUGGAAUUGUGAAUGAAAAUGAUAUUUUUAUUGAA
This is a long non-coding RNA of Lathyrus oleraceus (garden pea), 991 nucleotides long. RefSeq lists it as uncharacterized. Lineage: Eukaryota; Viridiplantae; Streptophyta; Magnoliopsida; Fabales; Fabaceae. The transcript has 2 exons. The record is from RefSeq and is a predicted model, not a curated record.